Non-coding RNA from Chelonoidis abingdonii (Abingdon island giant tortoise), 629 nucleotides. The record is from RefSeq and is a predicted model, not a curated record. Lineage: Eukaryota; Metazoa; Chordata; Testudines; Testudinidae.
AAAAGUAUAUUAUAUAUAUAUAUAUAUAUAUAUAUAUAACAGGGAUUGAGAUAAACUAACAUUCAGAACAACUUGAAGGGUAACUUAAGGAGUUGUUGACAGAAGGUAAAAUUUUCCCUGUGGACACUAUUUCAUAAGUGUCAGUUAUGGCAGAAAGGUCUAGUACAAGUCACAAGUCACAGUCAGAGACAGAUCAGUAGACUAAGUGAUGUGUUAUCACUAGUUCCAUGGUUCACUGUAAUAGUCAACAUUUCUAAAUCAAAAAGAUUCACACAAAAAAUUGUUUUAAAGCCGAUUACAAGUGACCUUCCAAUGCUAUCCCUGUACACGCAGCACUGAUGUUUGUUGCACCACACAGCAAGACUAACUUUACUAUUUCUUCAUACAUUGAUCACAGACUUGUUUCCCCCCCCCGUCCCCCCAAGUAGACUUCCCCUAAUUUGCGAUAUAGGGCAUCUUACUCCCUCACUGUUCGGGGUUUUACACUAUUGACUCACAGCAUGCAGCCAGCUUUUUAAAUCUAUUCACGUCAAUGUCAAUUUGCAGGUUGAAUCAAUCUUUAUGUUCACACAAAUUUGGAGGGAACAAGGAUAACUUUACAUUCUUAGACAAGAUAUAUUAAGAUGCAG